Long non-coding RNA from Triticum aestivum (bread wheat), 1851 nucleotides. RefSeq lists it as uncharacterized. The record is from RefSeq and is a predicted model, not a curated record. Lineage: Eukaryota; Viridiplantae; Streptophyta; Magnoliopsida; Poales; Poaceae. The transcript has 2 exons.
GAGAGAGAAAGAGAUGUAUGAGAAACCAAGAAAAAGAGGAGGACAUGUACAUUUUUCUUGAGUCCUCACUGUAACUAUUACAUUUUCAGAUAUUUCAUCCCUUUCCGUGUGUGCAUAAUUGACCAGCCAACAUGGUGACCUAUCCCCAACUGAAUUAACUUUACCCUCAUAUCAAACAAAAAUGACUUCAAUUGCAACUGAACUUAUUCAUAUAAUUGUAAUCACUAAUUGUUAAUUCUCAUUAACCUCUAAUUAAGUAUUCAAAAUAUCACAUUACCAUUGAUACCAUGUUUUGUAUUUUCUUCUUCUAUUAUGAACUGCACAAGGAACACUCCACAACUGAACUUACUUAAGCAGGCUCAUAGAUGAUAUCUUGUCUGCGCAGUGGAUUACCUAGAAUACUGGACUUUCCAUCAGCUUAUUCAUGACUGCACUUACUUUUUGUCAGCCUAUGUGCUCAAAAUAAUGAGAGGAUGAAUGGUUUAGUUGGACACUGACCUGCUUCUUCCUGGUGAUAUCCAUUGUAAUUUUUGUUGGCGAUAUAAUGUGCUUGACAAGCUGCCGAGAUAAUUCAUAUGCCUCUCAGUCAUGUUUCUUAUAUUUUGUAUACUUUCAUUUACUAACUCAAUCUAACUCACACAGUAUAACUUUAUUGUAGUUGCUUGAGCUGAAGCAUUGAGAUGGUGAAACAUUAACUAUUGCUGAUUCUAAACUUGGAAAUGCUAUAAAAGAGAAGUUGGUCAGUUAGGUUCCUUAGUUGCGCUGUUCCUGUAGAAUUACCAGUUCCGCUUACAGGUUUUAUGUGCUUUUGCAGAAAAUUGGCUGCGUUCACAAUAGUGAUGUGAUGGAGCUAAUGAGAGGGCUCAUAAAUCAGCUUAGUGAGCUUAUAUCUUGGUUGGGCACACAGGACCUUGGUCCGAGGAGCUUGGGACUUUCCCACAACUUGUCUAGAUACAAGCUGAAAUUCAGUCCUAAAAAGGUGAGUCAAUACUGUGAUUAGUUCACUUGGCUGAACCAUGUUAGUACAGAGCUAAAUAUCCAUAGAAAACAUGCAAAGUUUCUGAUAGAUCUUAUUCAGAUGUUGUAAACGACGUCAACUAGAUGCUUUUUGUCGAUAUUGCAUUAUUACCAAAUAAAACAAAUAAAAUAAUGUGGCUUUGUGGUUUGAGACUGAUACUGAUACUUCAUAUUAGUUGCUAAAAAUAUGUGCUUCAGUAUUUGACUACUUGUGCGAGGGUGCACAUGUAAGCCGUGAUGGGUUUCUAGAGUAGGUUAUGUCUCCAUUAUGAAAUUUUCCAUACCAUGCAAUAACCUGCUAAAAAUGGAUAUUCUCAAAUAGUACUAAGAAAAUAGUAUUGUUUCUAUUUAUUUUAAUAUGAGCGCCUCUAUUUAGAGGAUUCUAUGUCUAAUUAUUCAAAGUUCUAAUAUAUGAAGAUAUAUGCUCAUCUUUAUUUUGUUUGAUGCAUUUCUCAUUGAGAAACUGGAAUAUGAAACUAUUAUUAUCUAUCAGGUGAGGAAUUCAUGGGCUUGUAACAUGGAAAAAUAAUUGUAAGUGUAGUUUCAGGAAGUCACAGCUAGGAGUGGUGGGUGGACAUAUAACUGUCUGUUAGCCCUUUUAUGUGUUUCUGAAUGAAGUGGGAACUAAUGCUAGAUUCUUUUCCUGAUACAUAAUUGAUAUGUACACUUACCACACUAUCGUGAUCACAAAUGUUUACAACUGUCUGAAUCGUGUGAUUGCAAAGUAGAACCCACAUGAUUGAUACUGAUGAUGUAAUGUGUUAUCUGCAGUAUAUCUCAAUUUUGAAUGUGACAUGUACUGUAUGUAUAUGCAAAAAUUGAGCUUUUUGUCAA